AACUUUUCUUCCUUAAAGAAGUUAUAUAUUCCUAUAAUUACAAUUCAGGAAAACCAAUAUGAAAAACUCUCCUGGAGGACACAGUGCGAGGCUGUCUCUUGGUCUGUGAUUCUCGGCUGGAGUAAGGAAGAAGUUCUUCCUUUGGAUGGUAUUAUUCAACCUCUAACCUUGGUGCAAUAGUGUGCUUGAAAAUGUGCUAUUCUUUCUUAGAAUUGUAUGUGGAGAUUUGCUGUGAAUUUAUAGCUAUGAUUCGUAUGACACGUGAUGAUAGCAUGGACUAGUGAUAUAAGGUGACAUUUGGG
Molecule: unclassified non-coding RNA, 302 nt
Filed under: Hevea brasiliensis (rubber tree)
Lineage: Eukaryota; Viridiplantae; Streptophyta; Magnoliopsida; Malpighiales; Euphorbiaceae
Source: RNAcentral